RNAcentral lists this ribosomal RNA (253 nucleotides) under uncultured bacterium. Its description in RNAcentral is "partial 16S ribosomal RNA". It matches the Rfam family "Bacterial small subunit ribosomal RNA", at positions 524 to 776 of the family's 1533-position model. The record is from RNAcentral.
UACGGAGAGGGCUAGCGUUAUUCGGAAUCAUUGGGCGUAAAGGGCGCGUAGGCGGAUUAGUAAGUUAAAAGUGAAAUCCCAAGGCUCAACCUUGGAAUUGCUUUUAAAACUGCUAGUCUAGAGAUUGAAAGAGGAUAGAGGAAUUCCUAGUGUAGAGGUGAAAUUCGUAAAUAUUAGGAGGAACACCAGUGGCGAAGGCGUCUAUCUGGUUCAAAUCUGACGCUGAGGCGCGAAGGCGUGGGGAGCAAACAGG